RNAcentral lists this ribosomal RNA (490 nucleotides) under uncultured bacterium. Its description in RNAcentral is "partial 16S ribosomal RNA". It matches the Rfam family "Bacterial small subunit ribosomal RNA", at positions 28 to 507 of the family's 1533-position model. The record is from RNAcentral.
GAUGAACGCUAGCUACAGGCUUAACACAUGCAAGUCGCGGGGCAGCAUGGGGGUUGCUUGCAAUCCCCGAUGGCGACCGGCGCACGGGUGAGUAACGCGUAUCCAACCUGCCCUUCACCACGGGAUAACCCGGCGAAAGUCGGACUAAUACCGUAUGUUGUCCAUUGACGGCAUCCGAUUUGGACGAAAGGCUUGGCGGUGAGGGGUGGGGAUGCGUCCGAUUAGCCAGACGGCGGGGUAACGGCCCACCGUGGCUACGAUCGGUAGGGGUUCUGAGAGGAAGGUCCCCCACACUGGAACUGAGACACGGUCCAGACUCCUACGGGAGGCAGCAGUGAGGAAUAUUGGUCAAUGGGCGUAGGCCUGAACCAGCCAAGUAGCGUGCAGGAUGACGGCCCUAUGGGUUGUAAACUGCUUUUAUGCGGGGAUAAAGUGGCCCACGUGUGGGCUUUUGCAGGUACCGCAUGAAUAAGGACCGGCUAAUUCCGUG